AAACUUAUUAGCAUAGUGACCCUUUAUGUAUGUUAUAUUUGUUGUCAAUAUUUUCCUCAGUUUGCCUUUUGACUUUUUAGAAUAUAGAGUAGCUAAGCAAUAACUGUUGCUUGAAUCAGUGUUGUCUUACUGAGCCAUCCACAUUCUCAUCCCUUCUCAACAGGAAUGACCCCAAGUUUAUCAGAAGGCUCCUGUGGCUCCAGGGUCAACUCUGGGCAUAUCUGACUACAUCACUCCACCCCUACCAUGGUCUCUCCUCUGUACCCCAGCGUUCCAGGACAUCAUCAAGAAAGUGAACAGACAACACACACACAGAAUGAGAGAAAAUAUUUGCAAAUCAUUGGUAAAGGACUGGAAUUGGUAUGUCAAAUAUGUGAACAAGUCUUACAACUCAAUAAUAGAAUGACAACCCAACUUUAAAAUGGGCAAAGGAUGUGAAUAGAUAUUUCUCCAAAGAAGAUAUACAAAUGAUCAAUAAACAUGGGAAAAGACAGCCAACAUCAUUCAUUGUUAGGAAAAUGAAAAUCAAAACCACAAUGAGAUACCACUUUGUACCCACUAAUAUGGCUAUAAUAAAAAGGACAGAUAAUAAGCGUUGCUGAGGAUGUGGAGAAAUUGGAAACCUCAUCCACUGCUUGGGGAAAUGGAAAAUGGUGCACCCACUUUGGAAAGCAGCUGGCUGUUCUUCAAAACAUUAAACUGAGUUACCAUCCAACCCAGCAAUUCCACUGCUAGUUAUCUACCUGAGAGAAAUGAAAACAUGUCCUCAUAACAACUUUCACAGGAAUGUUCAUAGUAGCAUUAUGCAUAAUAGCAAAGAAGUGGAAACAACUCAUAUGUCCAUAAACUGCUGGAUAAACAAAAGGUGGUAUAUCCAUUCUGUGAAAUAUUAUUUGGUAAUAAAAAGAAAUGAAGUACUGAUGCAUGCAUGGAUGAACCUUGAAAAUAUUUUGCUAAGAAGCCAGUCACAAAAGACCACAUAUUGUAUGUUUCCAUUUAUAUGAAAUAAAACAGACACAUCCAUGGACAGAAAGUAGGUUAGUAGUUGCCUAGGGCUGAGGAGUGAAUGGAUUGUGGGGAGGUGUUGAGAGGUGAAAGCUAAGGGUGUAGGGUUUCUUUUCGUGGUAAUGACAGUGUUCUAAAAUUGAUUGUGGCCAUGGAUGCACAACUCUGUGACUAUACCAAAAACUUAACUCUUACAAUUAUAAAUAAAUUGUAUGGUAUGGGAAUUAUAUUUCAAUGAAAUUGUUAUUAAAAACAACUCUUUGCCCAGCGGACACCCAAACCUUUCCCCAGCGGACACCCAAACCUUUCCCCAAGAUGGCUGUAAAUUAUCUUGGGGUGGGAA
Molecule: long non-coding RNA, 1348 nt
Filed under: Homo sapiens (human)
Lineage: Eukaryota; Metazoa; Chordata; Mammalia; Primates; Hominidae
Description: HSALNT0303517
Source: RNAcentral